This 518-nucleotide long non-coding RNA is filed under the name Pan troglodytes (chimpanzee). RNAcentral's name for it is "long non-coding RNA NONPTRT003319". Lineage: Eukaryota; Metazoa; Chordata; Mammalia; Primates; Hominidae. The record is from RNAcentral.
GCCAGCCAGCCGUCUCGAGUUACCAGCAGAUCCUGCAAAAGUUCCAGGUGCCCACACUGGAAACUUGGAGAUCCUGCUUCCCAGACCACAGCUGUGGGGAACUUGGGGUGGAGCAGAGAAGUUUCUGUAUUCAGCUGCCCAGGCAGAGGAGAAUGGGGUCUCCACAGCCUGAAGAAUGAAGACACGACAGAAUAAAGACUCGAUGUCAAUGAGGAGUGGACGGAAGAAAGAGGCCCCUGGGCCCCGGGAAGAACUGAGAUCGAGGGGCCGGGCCUCCCCUGGAGGGGUCAGCACGUCCAGCAGUGAUGGCAAAGCUGAGAAGUCCAGGCAGACAGCCAAGAAGGCCCGAGUAGAGGAAGCCUCCACCCCAAAGGUCAACAAGCAGGGUCGGAGUGAGGAGAUCUCAGAGAGUGAAAGUGAGGAGACCAAUGCACCAAAAAAGACCAAAACUGAGGAACUCCCUCGGCCACAGUCUCCCUCCGAUCUGGAUAGCUUGGACGGGCGGAGCCUUAAUGAUG